AGUGAACGCUGGCGGUAGGCCUAACACAUGCAAGUCGAACGGUAACAGGUUAAGCUGACGAGUGGCGAACGGGUGAGUAAUGUAUCGGAACGUGCCCAGUUGUGGGGGAUAACUGCUCGAAAGAGCAGCUAAUACCGCAUACGACCUGAGGGUGAAAGCGGGGGAUCGCAAGACCUCGCGCAAUUGGAGCGGCCGAUAUCAGAUUAGGCAGUUGGUGGGGUAAAGGCUCACCAAGCCGACGAUCUGUAGCUGGUCUGAGAGGACGACCAGCCACACUGGGACUGAGACACGGCCCAGACUCCUACGGGAGGCAGCAGUGGGGAAUUUUGGACAAUGGGCGCAAGCCUGAUCCAGCCAUGCUGCGUGCGGGAAGAAGGCCUCCGGGUUGUAAACCGCUUUUGUCAGGGAAGAAACGCUCUGGGUUAGUACCCUGGGGUAAUGACGGUACCUGAAGAAUAAGCACCGGCUAACUACGUGCCAGCAGCCGCGGUAA
This 493-nucleotide ribosomal RNA is filed under the name uncultured bacterium. RNAcentral's name for it is "partial 16S ribosomal RNA". It matches the Rfam family "Bacterial small subunit ribosomal RNA", at positions 29 to 523 of the family's 1533-position model. The record is from RNAcentral.